GCUUGAUGAAGUGUAUGUUUUUAGGACACUCCCUCUGGUUGUGGGCAGAGUGUAGGUGCCAGCAAGGCAGUUAUUGCCAGGAUGACCAGACGUUCUUGCCUGGAGCUGUCUGGAGAUUGUUACGCCCCUGGGUUCUGGGGAGACCUUUGGGAUGGACCAGGGGCCUCCCCACUCCCUACAGGCAUCGUGUUCUACCCACCAAGAACCUACCGGGCAACGACGACAGGGAGGACACAAUUCCUGGGACAUGGCGCCAACAGUAGGGAACGAGGCCUCCCUCUCCCAUCUCCAGACCAGGAGGGGAACCCUGGAAAGGCAGCAUUGCUAACCCUUGUGGAGAGAGCCCUGACGGAGCAAGAGCCUGUCUCAGAAGACAAACCAACCAACAAACAAAAGCCAACACGGGAGAAGGGGGCAGGAUGCGGGCUUCCUACUUCUCUCUACCCUUAGUGAGUAUGCAUUUUGCUAAGGAUCAAGUAUUGGUGCCCUCCAUGGACACCACAAGAAAGGGAGCGACUCCUGCAGGCUUCUUUGUGUAGCUCUGGGGUCUAGAAGGACUGAUUCUGGCCAGAAACAACAAGACCUCUUUCUUGGGCAUGAGGCUGGGGUGGGGGCUCCUCUAAGCCUCUUAAGAGGUACCUGGGGCCAGGC
Molecule: long non-coding RNA, 651 nt
Filed under: Macaca nemestrina (pig-tailed macaque)
Lineage: Eukaryota; Metazoa; Chordata; Mammalia; Primates; Cercopithecidae
Description: lncRNA (ENSMNEG00000046120.1)
Source: RNAcentral